Molecule: non-coding RNA, 41 nt
Organism: Schistosoma haematobium
Lineage: Eukaryota; Metazoa; Platyhelminthes; Trematoda; Strigeidida; Schistosomatidae
Source: Rfam
UUCAAACUGACGAGUCUCAAAUGGGACGAAACGCGCGUCAA